ACCCAACUUAGCUGCUAUGAACCCCGAGGCACUAUGUUAGUGCGGCUCGCCCAUGCCUCGGGGGGAGCGAAUCGGGAAACCGGCUGAGUGGGAA
RNAcentral lists this non-coding RNA (94 nucleotides) under Ignavibacteria bacterium. RNAcentral describes it as "c-di-GMP sequence". It matches the Rfam family "c-di-GMP-II-GAG riboswitch aptamer". The record is from RNAcentral. Lineage: Bacteria; Pseudomonadati; Ignavibacteriota; Ignavibacteria.